UACAUGGGGUGCAAACGUUGCUCGGAAUCAUUGGGCGUAAAGCGCGCGUAGGCGGUUGCUUAAGUCGGAUGUGAAAGCCCUCGGCUUAACUGAGGAAGUGCAUCCGAAACUGAGCAGCUAGAGUACGAAAGAGGGUCGCGGAAUUCCCGGUGUAGAGGUGAAAUUCGUAGAUAUCGGGAGGAACACCGGUGGCGAAGGCGGCGACCUGGGUCGAGACUGACGCUGAGGAGCGAAAGCGUGGGUAGCAAACAGG
RNAcentral lists this ribosomal RNA (253 nucleotides) under uncultured bacterium. Its description in RNAcentral is "partial 16S ribosomal RNA". It matches the Rfam family "Bacterial small subunit ribosomal RNA", at positions 524 to 776 of the family's 1533-position model. The record is from RNAcentral.